RNAcentral lists this unclassified non-coding RNA (252 nucleotides) under Hevea brasiliensis (rubber tree). Lineage: Eukaryota; Viridiplantae; Streptophyta; Magnoliopsida; Malpighiales; Euphorbiaceae. The record is from RNAcentral.
UGGACCAUUGCCAAAAACUGCUACGGGGAAGAUUCAAAAGCAUGUGUUAAGGGCCAAGGCCAGAGAGAUGGGGCCUGUCAAAAAGAGCAAGUUGUAGAAAAUGAGACUUGGCAUCUUUUUGAUGGCUGAAUAAAAAAAUAACUCCUGUGGAUGGUUUUAGUUUAAAUUUCAGCAACCCCACAUGUAGAAUCACACACUAGAUAAAUUAUAUUGGUAGCUCAAAUUAAAAUAGAAGUAUGAAGCGAUCAACAA